Molecule: unclassified non-coding RNA, 20 nt
Filed under: Mus musculus (house mouse)
Lineage: Eukaryota; Metazoa; Chordata; Mammalia; Rodentia; Muridae
Description: oocyte_clustered_small_RNA5418
Source: RNAcentral
UAUGUCAUUGCCUGCUGACG